This is a long non-coding RNA of Myiozetetes cayanensis, 4218 nucleotides long. RefSeq lists it as uncharacterized. The transcript is spliced from 5 exons. NCBI's taxonomy places the organism in Eukaryota, Metazoa, Chordata, Aves, Passeriformes, Tyrannidae. The record is from RefSeq and is a predicted model, not a curated record.
UGCGGGAUAAAGGCUGCUCCGUCUGAACUUCGAGGCGGGCCGGUGGGCGACCUGCACUUUGAGGGGUUUCGGGUGGUGCUGCUGCCCAUUGUCAGGGAGUCCCCCCGGCCCGUCGUGGCCGGAGCUACCGGCAGCAGGGCACCGGCUUCACACGGUUUGGGGUGUUCGGUCUCUGAGCUUUUCCCACAGAGGUGUAAAACCGAGACAGUUUCCGCCUCUCCUUUCCAGUGGCUGAAACCCACUGCUGUAGAGGUAAGGAGGGAAUGAAGGAAAUCCCAGAUUGGUGAGUAGUUCCUCUGCCUCAGUGUGAGUCCCAGAUUACGGUGAAUGGGCUCAAAUUCCUCACUAGCAAGUUCUGCUCCACUUUGGAAAAAACGGUAUAUAUUUUCUAACACUAAUAGCCCAGAAAGGGAUAAUGUCCGUUAUGAAAUUCAGCAAGUGGCUUUUACUCUUUUCUGAUCCUCAUAAAACACUCAGGGCCAUCCAUGCUUUUAUACCACUCUGUAGAGGUGUACCUGUCUUAACACACCUGCUUUAUGUCCUGUAUCUAUGCUGAAUUCUCCCCAUUUGAUUUUGAAGUGUAUAGUCUUUUAUGUCUUCCCAGAUUAACCUGAAAUUUAGCCCUCAGAGAGCAUUAUUCCUCAGCCACAACAAUGUCCUUUGCCUGGAAGACUAUUUUAUCUCUUCUAAUACCCUACUUGGCUUUCUGUGCAUAGCAAUCGUUCAGCAGGUUAUGCAAUUCCAAGAGGGGUUAAUGAAUCCAUCAUGAUAAGUUAUCUUUGCAGGGUUCUUGAAAUCCACAGGUGUAUGCUAGUUGGCAUUUAGGGAAAUGGUUAGUGGCUGCUAGGGCUGGAAACCCUAACCUGGAGAACACCCUAACAAGAGAUACUUUCAGUGUUACUGGUUAGAUAUCUGCAAGAGUACCCAGUGAAGAUGGAAAAACUGCCACUUUCACAGAUAGGAGUGUGUCAAGAAGCUCAGGACUAAGUGCAAGCUAACUUGAUCUGCAGCCCAAAAAUUUCUAGCUAACUAGAAUGCCCUGCAGGACAAAGGAAGGGUGUUGUAGUGUAUGUAAAAUGCUCCUUGGAAGGUGGACUGAAUGCGGUUGAGGCUUUCCUGACAGCCUGUGCUUUCCCUGAACAACGCAAUGCAAAGAGCUAUCUGUAAGGUGACUGGAUUCCAUCUCAAGGAGGGGAAGCUGGGGCAAACUGCAGCCUGGCUGUAGCUACUGUGGGAACACUAAUCCUGCUAGAUCCCAUCUGCAUGUUACUGCAAGCUGUGGGUACCUGCAGGUGUAACGUGGAGGAAGAAAACCCAGUGACCACUUCCAUGCCUCCUUGUUCCCAUGUAACUGAUUGCUAUUUUCUUGCUACAGGAGAAGCUCCUAUCUUCUCUCCCCAUGCCAACCAUGCUUAAACAUACUGUGCGUUUGUUGGAGGAUGAGUCAAUUCUAGCUGCAUGUCUGAGCUACAGCCUUUGUUCUACUGUAUUUCCAACAGAGGAGCAAAAGCAUGGAGAGAGGAGGAAAUGCGGGUAUCAGAGGAAAUUUCUAGACCUGCUGGGAUCAGAAUUGGUGCAGAUCCACCUCAGUGGCUUUCCUCAGGCAGUCAGAAAGGCGAAGACAGGCUGCAACCAGGCCUGAAUGGCCCCAUUCUUCUCAGCCAACCACUAACACUUAAGACACGUACUACGAAGGUCCAAGAGGAGAAGGGCUGCGUGUGGAGGCAGUAGUUUUUUCCCAGUGAGAUUCUCCCUGCCCUUACUACACAAGUGAUGUGCUGCUGCGGUGUGUGACUGCACAAACCAAGCUGUUAUGUGUUCAGAGUCAUAUCUGCCUGCCUGCAUGACAGAAAUGAAGCAUUUGGUGCUUUCUCCUUCAUUUAAAGCUGCGGGAGCCUGUAGGGCGUGUCCUCCUCGUGCACCAAGGUGUCCACGUGUGCCACUUGUCAAUCAGGGACUUCUUCGCCAAGGAACAUCUGAGCAAAUCUCUUAAUAACAGAGGGACUACACACAGAUUAUUGUGAUCAUAAUUUCACCAACAUAGCCUUUAUUACUAAUGGUGAUGUUGGAGAUGGAAAACCCAGCGUGAUUCUCAGAUCCCUGCUGGAAAGUAAUAAAAUAAAGAGAAACAAAAUCUGCACGUGUAUUUGCUACCAAACCUUUGAAAAACACAAAAGUGGAAUCCUGCCAAUGCUAUUACUGGCAAUUUUUCAGAAUGGAGCCUCAUUCUGAGGGAAUCUGCCAAACGGAAAAUGGAAAAUCACUUUGAGAGAUACCACAAUUUUUAAACUUCUUCAAGAGACAUACAGAAAACAGCAGUUAUAUAUCAACUAGAGGAAAAAAACGCAGAAGCCUAGAUAUUUCUUGGUAUCCCUUUUAUGUGUUCACUAUUAGAAUGUGAAUAAUAAUAAUGAUGAUGGUGGUGAUACAUUCACUAUUAGAAAGUGGAUGAUGAUAAUAAUAAUGUUUUGCACCCUGUGUUCUACCCUAAUCUUUGAUCAAGAUUUUGGAGUACUUUUAGCUGCUGUAACUGAACUCUAUAAUACUUCUCUAUUGUCAGCACAAGAUGUGAAGUGAUUGCUGCUCUUUGCCGUGUCUCAACAGAUCGGAGUCAGGUACCCAGCUGAACGACACGGGAGGCUGUGCAAUGCUUUACAGGACCUGGCUGCAGCAACCUAAGUUUGACUUGAUGCAGGUUCAGGGCUGAGCAUCCCUCUUGGCUAGGAAAUGUGACAAUGCCCAAAAUGGUCACAUAGUCAGGGUGUGGUGGUUACAUACCACAAGCUUGACUUUGCAGAACUAUGCUGCCCAAAGACCAGGGUUUCUUUGAGGAAAGUGUUUCUCCUUUAGAGGUGGGGCUGCUUUGAUGGGUGUUCAUUUUGAACCUCAAGAGAAUCUUGAUGUGUGAGAUACUUUGAGUUAGUAAGGUCUUCUAGUUACUAAGAUUUUUUUCCCUUAAUAUUGCUUUCCCUGCUGAUUAAAUUGGGAUGGAACUCUUUGGCUUACCAUUUGCCCAACGCCCAAGAAUGAGCAGCUCCAGGAACCUGCAGUGCCUGGGCCUCUUGGGGACAGGAAGGCACAGUAUUAAUGGCAUUAACACUGCCUUAAAAUUAAGUGUAGAGCAGUACAGUCUGCAGCACUGCCAUGUGCAGGAGAGGGAGAACCCUAUUUAUACGCCAGCAGGCUAUUCUGGGAGUGCUAACACUGGGAGUGAGCAGCUGUGAGAAAAACAGAGAAUAAGUGAUAGUACACUCUGAAAUGGAAAUCAUAGCAAAGCACCAUAUGUGUUGACUGAGUAGUACCGCCAGCGCCCUCGUUUCGGUGCUCUGAAGUGAUAGCUUACAACUUGCUUGAUGAAUUUUCACAAAACUGCUGUUCCACACAGUAAUCUCCAGCAUUGCAGCUGUUCUGACUUGUAUACAGCACAUGGGAAAACAGUGGUCAGCAAAAUUCAGUCUUGAAUGCUGCUGGAAGACCAGGCAAGAACUGAAAUAUUUGCCUUCCCCAUUGCAGACCUCAUUAACAGAUGUACAUAUCAUCCCCUGGGAAUGCAGUUUCCUGAUCAUGAGGUUCUUCUGUGAGCACCACGCAGAUGGAUUCCUGCUUGCAGGACUCAUGCGUUGCAAUGUUUACAUUCACCUCCUAAAGCUUUCAUACAAAUAUGAGAACAGAAUAUUAAUUCCCUUGACAAGGCUGCUUUGUCACACAAUUGGGCUGUUUAUUUGCCUGCCAUGAUUACUAUCACUAUCAAUAGUUUCAGUUUUGUUCUUGGACUCUUUAAAGAUUUGAGAAGUUUCUGUGGGCCGUGUUUGUCUGUGCAAUGGAGUUAACUCCAGCCAAGCACGUGUACGCAGCCAAGGGCAAGCCAGGACUUGUGACAGUGGGGUCCUGAGGUGGGCUUCCUAAAAUGUGUGAAAAGCCAGACUGUUAAAAGCAGUCAAGGCUCUGUUAUGGCCUCAUCUCUCAAAUCACUCUGCACUUAACAUAGCAAAGCCUUGAAAAUCCAGUGGUUCUUGAGCUCUUUGGCUCCAUCACAGGUGUUAAGCCCUUCACAGGUGUUAAGACCUUCUCACCAUGGCAGCUCCAGCCAGACACCAGUUUUGAGUCACUGCAACUGCAGCCGUGUGUCUAUCCUGGAAGGGCAUCCCAGACGCAGAGGUCUGUGCCAUGGCCAUGGCCCCACUUCUGCGCCCUCCUUCUUCCUCCCCCCUGCAAAUC